Hemicordylus capensis (graceful crag lizard) is the source of this 873-nucleotide long non-coding RNA. RefSeq lists it as uncharacterized. The record is from RefSeq and is a predicted model, not a curated record. Lineage: Eukaryota; Metazoa; Chordata; Lepidosauria; Squamata; Cordylidae. The transcript has 2 exons.
UUGUGCAGUUGAAGUUGCACAACACUGCAGCCUUUAUGUAUAACUCCAUAUGCUUGUUGUCCUUCUCCGCCUUUUUAAACAUGAAAUUUCAAAAACAUCCAAUUCACAAAUGAGUCAUAUGAGUGUACAGAAUCCAUCUGGACAUAUAUUAUUUCUUGUAUCCUCUCUAGAAUGUGUAUAAUACAUAAGUUUUAACAAAAAUAUCAUGUUCCAAAUAUAUUUUAGCCAGUCUAGUCUUGUUGGAGGCAUUGCAUUUUUCCAUUCUUUUGCAGUACAGAUUCUUGCUGUUGUUAAUAGAUAACUGAUCAUUUCUACAUCUGUUUGCAAUACUUCUCUUAUAUAGCAAAAAAAAUUUCCUUUGGAACGUUCUUCAUUUCACUACUUGUUGUCCAAAAGUUAAUAAUAAGUGGGCAUGACCAGAAUCUAUGGCAAAUAUCUCUACCAGGAGUCUGAGACCUCCAGGAAUGAUCAUCCAUCAAAUGAUAAAUGCAUUUUAGACAUAAAGGAAUCAUAUACCAAUGAUAUUGUAACUUAUGCAGGCUCUUUCUUAAGUUUUUGAAUUGCUCCUCACUUAUGAACAUCUUUCAGUGGAAUCUCUGCUUUCAUUGCCUGAAGAACCAAGUGCAUUCAAAGGAAUGUUUGUGAAAGAAAAAGGUUGUUUAUUUCCUAAGAUGUUGGAACUGCCAGGAAGCAAAUAAAGAAGAUCAAAGCUUGCUGCAGAGAAAUGCAGAAGUGUGAAAGUAAAGACACAUCAUGGUGGAUAUAAGUGAAAUAGGAAUACAUAUUUUCACAAUGAGAUAACUGGAUAUUUCACAAGAAUGUGGGCAAUGUACCUAUCUGGGCAUAUAAUUAAAAAAUAUAUUUGUUACCUAC